UUAUACGAGAGGCCCAAGUUGACAACAGUCGGCGUAAAGCGUGGUUAGGCCAUCAACCCCCACUAAAGUCGAAUGCCCUCAAAGCUGUUAUACGCACCCGAGGGUUAGAAGUUCAAAUACGAAAGUAACUUUAUAAGUCUGAACCCACGAAAGCUACGGCACAAACUGGGAUUAGAAACCCCACUAUGCCUAGCCCUAAACAUUGGCAACACAAAACACCCGUUGCCCGCCCGGGCA
Molecule: ribosomal RNA, 237 nt
Filed under: Lophius piscatorius (angler)
Lineage: Eukaryota; Metazoa; Chordata; Actinopteri; Lophiiformes; Lophiidae
Description: partial small subunit ribosomal RNA
Source: RNAcentral